GAAUUCUGUGCUUUCAUAAAACUUUGAUGCUCCUACAAUUGACUAGUUGCAGGUUUAAUAACAAAGAAGAAUUAGAGGAUAUAGUAGGGCUUCAAAGAACAAACUACUGACCAUAGUUAACAACAGACAUCAAAGGCUGGAACAUAUGCAGAUUUUUUCAUUGGUUCUACUGGAUUUAACAGAAACUUAUAUUGGGAGUUGGAAUUUCCAUCUGUUAUCACCUUUUUAUACCAAAAACUUCUCUGACAUACUCGGCGCAAAAUUUUUAUUUACCACACUUUCUAUUGUUAAUCAUAGUCUGAACAAGAUAAAAUGUAAGGCACCUUGCAAAGACUAAUAGAUGGAAGCGGAAGAAGGGGUUCAUAAUGCAUGCUUAUAAUUCAAAACAUUUAAGAGUGAACCGUGAUCAUUUU
This 413-nucleotide unclassified non-coding RNA is filed under the name Hevea brasiliensis (rubber tree). The record is from RNAcentral. Lineage: Eukaryota; Viridiplantae; Streptophyta; Magnoliopsida; Malpighiales; Euphorbiaceae.